Molecule: ribosomal RNA, 433 nt
Filed under: uncultured bacterium
Lineage: Bacteria
Description: partial 16S ribosomal RNA
Rfam family: Bacterial small subunit ribosomal RNA
Source: RNAcentral
AACGAACGCUGGCGGCAUGCCUAACACAUGCAAGUCGAACGAGACCUUCGGGUCUAGUGGCGCACGGGUGCGUAACGCGUGGGAACCUGCCCUUAGGUUCGGAAUAACUCCCCGAAAGGGGUGCUAAUACCGGAUAAUGUCUUCGGACCAAAGAUUUAUCGCCUUUGGAUGGGCCGGCGUUGGAUUAGCUAGUUGGUAGGGUAAAAGCCUACCAAGGCGACGAUCCAUAGCUGGUCUGAGAGGAUGAGCAGCCACACUGGGACGGGGACACGGCCCAGACUCCUACGGGAGGCGGCAGUGGGGGAUAUUGCACAAUCGGGGGAAGCCUGAUCCAGCAAUGCCGCGUGAGUGAUGAAGGCCUUAGGGUUGUAAAGCUCUUUUACCCGGGAUGAUAAUGACAGUACCGGGAGAAUAAGCUCCGGCUAACUCCGUG